CUGUAAUAGCUCAAUUGGCCAGUUCAAAAAAUAAGAUCAAGUUGUCAGACAAAACCAUGCGUCAGAAACCAGUAUUUUGGCUCAUUUUUACAAAUAUUGGUUCCAAAUGACCCAAUAAACCAAUCUGUUAAAGAAGCCAGUCAACUAACUAUGACUAGUACUCGAAAUGUUCUACUUUGGAGCCAUUUACAAUAUAGCCAUCUCACUGUUGCCAGAUUUGAUGUGUUGCUCUAUCCAGGACCAUUGUCCACCGAUCAUAGAUAUAAAGAAUUGAUGAAUGUCAAAGAAACUGAAUAUCAAAUGUACAUUGUUGAAAAUAAGUCUGACAGAAUCAUG
Telopea speciosissima is the source of this 336-nucleotide long non-coding RNA. RefSeq lists it as uncharacterized. NCBI's taxonomy places the organism in Eukaryota, Viridiplantae, Streptophyta, Magnoliopsida, Proteales, Proteaceae. The transcript has 2 exons. The record is from RefSeq and is a predicted model, not a curated record.